GUGAUGGUAUCAUCAUGGCUAUACAUGAAGAGCAAUGUAUGACCCUGGACACCAAAUGAUCCAAAGGAAAACCAAGACUUUUGGAGUGAGGAUACUUCCUGAAGGAUGCAAGUCUAAUAUAUAUCAGUAUACAGGCAUUGUCCUCUCUUGUGGACUGGUACUGAUUGCUUGGGGCCAUUCGGGCCCCAGGCAAGAAUUCCCAGCUCCCCCAAAAACAUGGUAAAGUUAUACUUGUUUCCCUCAAACAACUUACAUUUAUUUAACCCUAUGAAAUGUCCCAAAUAUUUUCAUUAAUUCAUUGGACCAAUGAAUAUUUUAUUGAUUAUAUGAAGUAAUAGUCAUUGUUAUAACCAUGUAGGAUACAAACCAAUAGAACAGAUUCUGCCUUCAGAUACAUACCUUUAUAAGAUAAACUACUAAGUAUAAUAAACAACAGGCUAAGGACUGGGUUGGUCUUGGUGUUAGGAAGGACAGAUAAUUAUCUUCCUUUCUCACACAGAUUUACACAGAUAUUGAAGGAUUUGCAUAACGUUGUAUGUCUGAUAACUUAAGUCCUCCUAACCUCAAAAAUUCACUUUUUCAUUAUAUCAAUCCUGCAUGCUUCAGUCAAAAACAUAAAAGUACAUACCUCCUGAGUAGGUAACAACUAAUUUUAUCCUUUUAUGACCAAGAAAGGGAAAACUCCUUAGCCCUUGGAAGUCUCACUGGAGAGCUCUUAGGCCUUGAAAAACCACCCCCUUUAAGAAUAGGGUCUCAAGGUUUGACAAAUACUAAGCACUCAUUAAACACUCCCAAUACCCAUUCUUUAACAGCUAAUCAAAUGUGAUACAUAUCCUGAGGCCCCCAGAAAACUGAAUCCUCAACACUGUGAGGCCAUUUGUCCUUGGUCCUUGGUAUCAGAGAGAGAAGAACCAGAUGAGUUUGAAAGUGAUGCUGAAAAUGGCCUAGAGUCAAGUAGGUAAAAAUGUGAAAAGCAUUUCAGCAAACAACAUUUUGCUUAUGGUCAGCCCUAUUGUUAUCUUCAUACUUCACACUACCUAAUGUGGCUGAGGGAUUGGUCUUGGGGGCACUUAAUAACAAAGAUACCCCACUCUUGCAUGUGCAUCUUUUGAUGCAUUGAUUUAUUCACUGAUCCAAUGAACCAGCAAUAUAAAUUCUAAAUAAGUAAAUUCUACUUGACUAUAAUAUGGUAGGGAACUUAAUUAACAACAUCAAUAAUUUACAUGCAUUGUUGAGUCUGGAAAAGCUUCAUUCAACUAAACCUUAUCUCUGUUGAAGCAAGAUUGGAAAGGCAGCAAAAAUAUAGCUUAUACUCUCAGAUACAUAAUGAAAUCCUCAGGAAAAAAUCCUCUCUGACAUUAAUUCCAGAAACAAAGUCUAUAUCCUCUGAAUAACUGGUUUGUUUCAUAAAAGACAUAGCAUAUUGGUUAGAUGACCCUCCACAAUGGCUGCUAGAAGGCUGAGCCAAUUUUAUGCCUCACUUGUCCUAUUUUUUUUUUUUUAAUCUUUGCAUCUGGCUCCCUUCCACACUCUAAUUUUUUCUCUGAUUUUUCCUCUCACACUUGUAAUACAUCAUAUAUGUUUUGUUGGUAUUUAUGUAACCUUUUUCUAUUCUAAAUUUUUUUGACAUUAAAAUGUUUUCCUACUUGAAAUACCUACAAGAUGUCUGAGGGUGGGGAGGUUAGAGAAAGGACCCGAGAACUCAGAUACAUGUCCCCGUAAUUUCCUACAAAAUGUGUUUGUCUCCGAUUUUUCAUUGGGUUGGACAGCUGAUUUGAUUCCCAUACUUUUAGCCAACUUUACAGAAUAAUACAUUUUGUAGAAUCAAAAUUUCAGAGUAUAUGAAAACUCAAGACAUGUAGAGAAUCUCGAAUAAAAUCGUGAAUAAAGCUCUUUUGAAGCCUAGGACAAGUCUUGAUUAAAUCUUAAACACACUUAGUAAGAAGAAUUAUAGGUUUCUAAACCUUUUUCAAAAAUGUGUCAAAAUAGUUAUGGUAACAAUAAGGCGGAAUGUGGCAUAAUUAGACUAUUUGUCAAAAUAUUGUACAUAUUUGCAGGUAAAGAAACAAAAACCUUGGACCUGAUUAAACAUUAAGAGGAUUUUAAUAAAAAUCAGGACAUGACCAGUAGCAGUGAAAUUGUGCUCCUUUGGUAUCUUUGAUAAUUAAAUUCAUCGUUGUUGAUAAUAGAAGUAGUAGGGGAAGACUGGUGAAGAUUUCAGUUGAUUGAGUAGCUUUAAACACAG
Molecule: long non-coding RNA, 2245 nt
Filed under: Marmota monax (woodchuck)
Lineage: Eukaryota; Metazoa; Chordata; Mammalia; Rodentia; Sciuridae
Source: RNAcentral